Roseivivax halodurans JCM 10272 is the source of this 109-nucleotide regulatory RNA element. It matches the Rfam family "L2-Alphaproteobacteria ribosomal protein leader". Lineage: Bacteria; Pseudomonadati; Pseudomonadota; Alphaproteobacteria; Rhodobacterales; Roseobacteraceae. The record is from Rfam.
GGGCACCUACGGGGGCCUACAUCCGAAGGCCGGGCCUCGCGCCGCGGCCGACCACAUAGGCGGACGCCCCGACCGGGGGCGGGUCGCUGCUGACAACGGAAGACAGAAA